Non-coding RNA from Ictidomys tridecemlineatus (thirteen-lined ground squirrel), 234 nucleotides. NCBI's taxonomy places the organism in Eukaryota, Metazoa, Chordata, Mammalia, Rodentia, Sciuridae. The record is from RefSeq and is a predicted model, not a curated record.
CAAAUUGUUCAAACAAUUAAACAAAGAAUUCUGUUUCCCUCGUUAGGUCCCUGGAUUGCAGUGCAGAAAUCUUCUUGUGAAAAUACGGUCCAAAUAUUUGAAAUGGAAAUCCAAGUUAAAUCAAAAAGGGGUGGAGAAAUUCAGGAUAUGCCAUAUCUAACCUCCAGAGGAACUGAAGAAUAAAGCUCAUGUAUGAUCCAGAUGCUCUAUGAUCCAGAUGCUUCAGAGAUAUCA